This 1777-nucleotide ribosomal RNA is filed under the name Trichinella spiralis. RNAcentral's name for it is "SSU rRNA". It matches the Rfam family "Eukaryotic small subunit ribosomal RNA". The record is from RNAcentral. Lineage: Eukaryota; Metazoa; Nematoda; Enoplea; Trichinellida; Trichinellidae.
GCUUGUCUCAAAGAUUAAGCCAUGCAUGUGUAAGCACACACUGUUUUAAAAGUGAAGCCGCGAAUGGCUCAUUACAACAGCCACAGUUUAUUAGAACUUACAAUCAUGGAUAACUGUGGUAAUUCUAGAGCUAAUACACGCACAAAAACUUCAACUGAAUUGGUUGAAGUGCUUUUAUUAGAACAAAAACCGAACGGCGUUUGACGAAUGUUGAACGUCGAAACUGUUUGGUGAAUCUGAAUAACUAUUUCUGAUCGCAUGGUCUAGCACCGGCGACAUCACUUUCAAGUGUCUGCCUUAUCAACCUUCGAUGGUAGUCUAUGCGACUACCAUGGUGAUAACGGGUAACGGAGAAUCAGGGUUCGACUCCGGAGAGGGAGCCUGAGAAACGGCUACCACAUCCAAGGAAGGCAGCAGGCGCGCAAAUUACCCACUCCCAGCUUGGGGAGGUAGUGACGAAAAAUAACGAGACGAUUCUCGUUUGAGAAACGUUAUCGAAAUGAGUACGCUUUACACACGCUAACGAGUAGCAAUUGGAGGGCAAGUCUGGUGCCAGCAGCCGCGGUAAUUCCAGCUCCAAUAGCGUAUAUUAAAGUUGCUGCGGUUAAAACGCUCGUAGUUGAAUUGUGGUCUUAGACAACAGUCCCCCUACAAAGGUGUGGCACGGUUGCUCGAGAUCUUCAUUCGUGGUUGCUGUUGUUGCUCUUCAUUGAGUGUCAAUGGUGCCUCGAGAUUUUACUUUGAAAAAAUUAGAGUGCUCAAAGCAGGUUGUGAUGCCUGAAUAAUGGUGCAUGGAAUAAUAGAAUACGAUCUCGGUUCUAUUUUGUUGGUUUUCGAACCGGAGAUAAUGAUUGAAAGGAACAGACGGGGGCAUUCGUAUUGCUGCGUUAGAGGUGAAUUCUUGGAUCGCAGCAAGAUGAACAAUUGCGAAAGCAUUUGCCAAGAAUGUUUUCAUUAAUCAAGAACGAAAGUUAGAGGUUCGAAGGCGAUCAGAUACCGCCCUAGUUCUAACGGUAAACUAUGCCAACCAGCGAUUCGCCGAAGUUCAUUUAAGACUCGGCGAGCAGCUUCCGGGAAACCAAAGUGUUUCGGUUCCGGGGGAAGUAUGGUUGCAAAGCUGAAACUUAAAGGAAUUGACGGAAGGGCACCACCAGGAGUGGAGCCUGCGGCUUAAUUUGACUCAACACGGGAAAACUCACCCGGCCCGGACACUGGAAGGAUUGACAGAUUGACAGCUCUUUCUUGAUUCAGUGGGUAGUGGUGCAUGGCCGUUCUUAGUUGGUGGAGCGAUUUGUCUGGUUAAUUCCGAUAACGAACGAGACUCUACCCUAUUAAAUAGUGACAGUAUUGUAUUUUUUGUGCUGAUCACUUCUUAGAGGGACUGGCAAAUUGAAAGCUGCACGAAAAAGAGCAAUAACAGGUCUGUGAUGCCCUUCGAUGUCCGGGGCUGCACGCGCGCUACAAUGAAAGCGUCAACGUGAGUUACGUCCUUACCUGAAAAGGUUUGGCAAUCGAAUGAAACGUUUUCUUGAAUGGAAUAGGGAAUUGCAAUUGUUUCCCUUGAACGAGGAAUUCCCAGUAAGCGUGAGUCAUUAGCUCGCGUUGAUUACGUCCCUGCCCUUUGUACACACCGCCCGUCGCUACUACCGAUUGGAUGAUUUAGUGAGGUGUUUUGACUGGCGCCAGUAGUCGGAUAUGUAUUCGGCUUCGCGCCGGGAAAUUUCCCAAACCAAAUCAUCUAGAGGAAGUAAAAGUCGUAACAAGGUUUCCGUAGGUG